UGUGGACGUUACCAAACUGUUGCCUCGGCGGGGUCACGCCCCGGGUGCGUCGCAGCCCCGGAACCAGGCGCCCGCCGGAGGAACCAACCAAACUCUUUCUGUAGUCCCCUCGCGGACGUAUUUCUUACAGCUCUGAGCAAAAAUUCAAAAUGAAUCAAAACUUUCAACAACGGAUCUCUUGGUUCUGGCAUCGAUGAAGAACGCAGCGAAAUGCGAUAAGUAAUGUGAAUUGCAGAAUUCAGUGAAUCAUCGAAUCUUUGAACGCACAUUGCGCCCGCCAGUAUUCUGGCGGGCAUGCCUGUCCGAGCGUCAUUUCAACCCUCGAACCCCUCCGGGGGAUCGGCGUUGGGGAUCGGGACCCCUCACACGGGUGCCGGCCCCGAAAUACAGUGGCGGUCUCGCCGCAGCCUCUCCUGCGCAGUAGUUUGCACAACUCGCACCGGGAGCGCGGCGCGUCCACGUCCGUAAAACACCCAACUUUCUGAAAUGUUGACCUCGGAUCAGGUAGGAAUACCCGCUGAACUUAAGCAUAUCAAUA
This 538-nucleotide ribosomal RNA is filed under the name Trichoderma viride. Its description in RNAcentral is "eukaryotic LSU rRNA". The stretch from base 159 to 312 matches the Rfam family "5.8S ribosomal RNA". The record is from RNAcentral. Lineage: Eukaryota; Fungi; Ascomycota; Sordariomycetes; Hypocreales; Hypocreaceae.